RNAcentral lists this ribosomal RNA (486 nucleotides) under uncultured Nitrospirales bacterium. RNAcentral's name for it is "bacterial SSU rRNA". It matches the Rfam family "Bacterial small subunit ribosomal RNA", at positions 29 to 505 of the family's 1533-position model. The record is from RNAcentral. Lineage: Bacteria; Pseudomonadati; Nitrospirota; Nitrospiria; Nitrospirales.
AACGAACGCUGGCGGCGCGCUUAACACAUGCAAGUCGAACGGGGUUGUUAUGAAGUAGCAAUACGGAAUAAUAACUUAGUGGCGAACGGGUGAGUAACACGUAGGUAACCUGCCCUUAGGAUUGGGAUACUCCCGAGAAAUCGGGCUCAAUACCGGAUAUGAUUCCGAGGUGAAAUGCCUAGGAAUGAAAGCUGCGAGCAAUCGUGGCACCUAAGGAGGGGCCUGCGGCCUAUCAGCUUGUUGGUGAGGUAACGGCUCACCAAGGCUAAGACGGGUAGCCGGACUGAGAGGUCGAUCGGCCACACUGGAACUGAGACACGGUCCAGACUCCUACGGGAGGCAGCAGUGGGGAAUUUUGCGCAAUGGGCGAAAGCCUGACGCAGCGACGCCGCGUGGAGGAAGAAGGCCCUCGGGUUGUAAACUCCUUUAGUACGGGAAGAAGCCGAAAGGUGACGGUACCGUAAGAAUAAGCCACGGCUAACUCUG